This 21-nucleotide non-coding RNA is filed under the name Arabidopsis thaliana (thale cress). The record is from RNAcentral. Lineage: Eukaryota; Viridiplantae; Streptophyta; Magnoliopsida; Brassicales; Brassicaceae.
UGCUGUAAGCGGGAAGUAGUC